This 498-nucleotide ribosomal RNA is filed under the name uncultured soil bacterium. Its description in RNAcentral is "bacterial SSU rRNA". It matches the Rfam family "Bacterial small subunit ribosomal RNA", at positions 26 to 523 of the family's 1533-position model. The record is from RNAcentral.
AGAUUGAACGCUGGCGGCAGGCCUAACACAUGCAAGUCGAGCGGUAGAGAGGUGCUUGCAUCUCUUGAGAGCGGCGGACGGGUGAGUAAUGCCUAGGAAUCUGCCUAGUGGUGGGGGAUAACGUUCGGAAACGGACGCUAAUACCGCAUACGUCCUACGGGAGAAAGCGGGGGACCUUCGGGCCUCGCGCCAUUAGAUGAGCCUAGGUCGGAUUAGCUAGUUGGUGAGGUAAUGGCUCACCAAGGCGACGAUCCGUAACUGGUCUGAGAGGAUGAUCAGUCACACUGGAACUGAGACACGGUCCAGACUCCUACGGGAGGCAGCAGUGGGAAUAUUGGACAAUGGGCGAAAGCCUGAUCCGGCCAUGCCGCGUGUGUGAAGAAGGUCUUCGGAUUGUAAAGCAACUUUAAGUUGGAGGAAGGUUGUAACCUAAUACGUUGCAACUUUGACGUUACCGACAGAAUAAGCACGGCUAACUCGUGCCAGCAGCCGACGUAA